Molecule: ribosomal RNA, 459 nt
Filed under: uncultured bacterium
Lineage: Bacteria
Description: partial 16S ribosomal RNA
Rfam family: Bacterial small subunit ribosomal RNA
Source: RNAcentral
CCUACGGGAGGCAGCAGUGAGGAAUAUUGGUCAAUGGCCGAGAGGCUGAACCAGCCAAGUCGCGUGAGGGAAGACGGCCCUACGGGUUGUAAACCUCUUUUGUCGGGGAGCAAAGCGAGUCACGUGUGACUCAUUGAGAGUACCCGACGAAAAAGCAUCGGCUAACUCCGUGCCAGCAGCCGCGGUAAUACGGAGGAUGCGAGCGUUAUCCGGAUUUAUUGGGUUUAAAGGGUGCGCAGGCGGAGGUGCAAGUCAGCGGUCAAAUUGCGGGGCUCAACCCCGUACUGCCGUUGAAACUGCAGCCCUUGAGUGCGCGAGAAGUAGGCGGAAUGCGUGGUGUAGCGGUGAAAUGCAUAGAUAUCACGCAGAACUCCGAUUGCGAAGGCAGCAUACCGGCGCGCAACUGACGCUCAUGCACGAAAGCGUGGGUAUCGAACAGGAUUAGAUACCCUAGUAGUC